ACAUUUUGUAGCCAAGAAGGGAAAUGACAGCUAGAUGUCCAAAUGAAGCUGUUCACAUCAACAAGUUUAAAAAAGGUUUUGGAUUUUAAAAUCUCUUGUUCUACAUAUAAAACUAAGUCCAAAAAUUCCACAUGUUCUUUGCUGUAGGAAUAUGUGAAAGACAAGUUAAAAUUAUUAUUAUUAAGAUGUGUUAAAAACUCCAAUAGUGCCGCCUCUGUACCCUCCCAGAUAAAAAAGCAGUCAUCUACAUAUAGGACUAGGUUUUCUACCCAGCAGUGCCCUUGCCAGAUAAACAGCUCCUCCCAAUAUGACAUAAAAAUGUUGGCAUAGCUGGG
This is a non-coding RNA of Pelobates cultripes (western spadefoot toad), 335 nucleotides long. Lineage: Eukaryota; Metazoa; Chordata; Amphibia; Anura; Pelobatidae. The record is from the annotation of a GenBank genome assembly.